Molecule: ribosomal RNA, 420 nt
Filed under: uncultured bacterium
Lineage: Bacteria
Description: bacterial SSU rRNA
Rfam family: Bacterial small subunit ribosomal RNA
Source: RNAcentral
GAGGAAUAUUGGACAAUGGGCGCAAGCCUGAUCCAGCCAUGCCGCGUGCAGGAAGACGGCCCUAUGGGUUGUAAACUGCUUUUGUACGGGAAGAAACACCACUACGCGUAGUGGCUUGACGGUACCGUAAGAAUAAGGAUCGGCUAACUCCGUGCCAGCAGCCGCGGUAAUACGGAGGAUCCAAGCGUUAUCCGGAAUCAUUGGGUUUAAAGGGUCCGUAGGUGGACGAUUAAGUCAGGGGUGAAAUCUUGCAGCUCAACUGUAAAAUUGCCCUUGAUACUGGUUGUCUUGAAUCAUUGUGAAGUGGUUAGAAUAUGUAGUGUAGCGGUGAAAUGCAUAGAUAUUACAUAGAAUACCGAUUGCGAAGGCAGAUCACUAACGGUGCAUUGACGCUGAUGGACGAAAGCGUGGGGAGCGAAC